This 253-nucleotide ribosomal RNA is filed under the name uncultured bacterium. Its description in RNAcentral is "partial 16S ribosomal RNA". It matches the Rfam family "Bacterial small subunit ribosomal RNA", at positions 524 to 776 of the family's 1533-position model. The record is from RNAcentral.
UACGGAUGGGGCUAGCGUUGUUCGGAAUUACUGGGCGUAAAGCGCACGUAGGCGGCUUUGCAAGUUAGAGGUGAAAGCCCAGGGCUUAACCCUGGAAUUGCCUUUAAAACUGCAUCGCUAGAAUUGUGGAGAGGUAAGUGGAAUUCCGAGUGUAGAGGUGAAAUUCGUAGAUAUUCGGAAGAACACCAGUGGCGAAGGCGACUUACUGGACACAUAUUGACGCUGAGGUGCGAAAGCGUGGGGAGCAAACAGG